GCUUUAUACUUUGAACCCCCAGGACUCACAGACAUUCAGGUGGUUCAGCCAGAACAACCACAGGAAGCAGCGAGCAAAGCCCAGGUACCAGCAACCGGCACCGCCAGCCCAUCAAGAACCCAAGCCAUAGUGGCUUGGCCAAUGGCACAGUGAAUGACGAUCCCACUGCAGCCACCGAUCCCGAAGAACCCUCUGUUGUUGGUGUGACAUCCCUGCCUGCCGCAGCAACAAGUGUGACCCCAAACCCCACCGUAGCCUCUCUUCCUGCUCUGACCACACCAGCUGAAGGAGAGGUGCCCAGCACUUCAGGCACCCAGCAGCCCCCCACAGCUGUCCAGGCCCCUGAUGCCUUGCCUUCUGGAUGGGAGCAGCGAGAGCUGCCCAACGGGCGUGUCUAUUAUGUUGACCACAACACCAAGACCACCACCUGGGAGCGGCCUCUUCCUCCAGGGUAAGACCUCUCCACCAUG
Talpa occidentalis (Iberian mole) is the source of this 470-nucleotide long non-coding RNA. RefSeq lists it as uncharacterized. The transcript is spliced from 3 exons. NCBI's taxonomy places the organism in Eukaryota, Metazoa, Chordata, Mammalia, Eulipotyphla, Talpidae. The record is from RefSeq and is a predicted model, not a curated record.